GGAGAGGUGCAGGAGUGGCUGAACUGGCUCGCCUGGAAAGCGAGUAUUCCUUCAUCGGAAUCGAGGGUUCGAAUCCCUCUCUCUCCGCCA
This 90-nucleotide transfer RNA is filed under the name Brumimicrobium salinarum. RNAcentral describes it as "tRNA-Ser". It matches the Rfam family "tRNA". Rfam says of the family: Transfer RNA (tRNA) molecules are approximately 80 nucleotides in length. Their secondary structure includes four short double-helical elements and three loops (D, anti-codon, and T loops). Further hydrogen bonds mediate the characteristic L-shaped molecular structure. tRNAs have two regions of fundamental functional importance: the anti-codon, which is responsible for specific mRNA codon recognition, and the 3' end, to which the tRNAs corresponding amino acid is attached (by aminoacyl-tRNA synthetases). tRNAs cope with the degeneracy of the genetic code in two manners: having more than one tRNA (with a specific anti-codon) for a particular amino acid; and 'wobble' base-pairing, i.e. permitting non-standard base-pairing at the 3rd anti-codon position. The record is from RNAcentral. Lineage: Bacteria; Pseudomonadati; Bacteroidota; Flavobacteriia; Flavobacteriales; Crocinitomicaceae.